UCGCUACGGCAGCACAUAUACUAAAAUUGGAUCAAUACAGAGAAGACUAGCAUGGCCCCUGCGAAAGGAUGACACGCAAAUCCGGCAGUCGUGGGCUGGAAGU
Molecule: small nuclear RNA, 103 nt
Organism: Pygocentrus nattereri (red-bellied piranha)
Lineage: Eukaryota; Metazoa; Chordata; Actinopteri; Characiformes; Serrasalmidae
Source: Ensembl